AAGACUAUAGACCUGCGGAGUACCUGCGGAGGGAUCAUUAUCGUAUUGUAACAAUUGGGGGGGCCACCGUGGGCUGUCGCUGACCCUUUGAAAGGGGGGUCGUGCACGCCCCCAUAGUGUCAUCCUCAUACAAUCCAACUCACCUCUGUGCAUUACCGCGUGGGUUCCUUUCUGGGUCGAGUCAGACUGGCUCAGAAAAAAGGGGCUUGCGUUUUCCAUACAAAUACCCUUAUAAAUCCA
RNAcentral lists this unclassified non-coding RNA (240 nucleotides) under soil metagenome. Its description in RNAcentral is "partial contains 5.8S ribosomal RNA, internal transcribed spacer 2, and large subunit ribosomal RNA". The record is from RNAcentral.